RNAcentral lists this ribosomal RNA (360 nucleotides) under Triticum aestivum (bread wheat). RNAcentral's name for it is "partial small subunit ribosomal RNA". The record is from RNAcentral. Lineage: Eukaryota; Viridiplantae; Streptophyta; Magnoliopsida; Poales; Poaceae.
AUGACCAAUAGACUAAAACAUCAUGAGACAAGUGUGGAUCAUGUUUCGAGUAAUAAUCAGUAUGAGUUGCGUAGUAGAUUGGAAAAACAUCAAACUAUUGAUAAAGCUGCUCAACGACAACUUGAGAAAGAGAAAGACCAUUGGAGAAAGGUAUUCUUCAGAAUUGUUUACAUUGUAAAAUUUCUUGCAAAGCAUAAUCUAGCGUUCCGUGGUACUAAUGGCAAGUUCUAUGAAGAUAACAAUGGUAAUUUCUUGGGUUUGGUAGAGAUGUUGGCUGAAUUUGACCCUGUUAUUCAGGAGCAUGUUCAUCGUAUUACAAAUGAAGAAACUCAUGCUCAUUAUAUUGAUCAUAAGAUUUAG